GGAGAGGUGACAGAGUGGCCGAUUGUGGCGGUCUCGAAAACCGUUGGACGUUCCCGCGUCCCGUGGGUUCAACUCCCCCCCUCUCCGCCA
RNAcentral lists this transfer RNA (90 nucleotides) under Bacillota bacterium. RNAcentral describes it as "Firmicutes bacterium (anaerobic digester metagenome) tRNA-Ser". It matches the Rfam family "tRNA". From Rfam's summary of the family: Transfer RNA (tRNA) molecules are approximately 80 nucleotides in length. Their secondary structure includes four short double-helical elements and three loops (D, anti-codon, and T loops). The record is from RNAcentral. Lineage: Bacteria; Bacillati; Bacillota.